UACACUUUGUGGUGUGAGUACAUUGAAACAUUAUAUUGAACAUUUUUGCUUUUGUAUUUUUUACUUGUUACAAAUGGUGCAGCUUUUCAUAUUUGACAAUGUACAAAAUAUAUAUUUGUGACAGAGCUGAAUAUUUACCGCAAACAUCCAAAGAAAGAUGACAAAUAGAUUAUUAGUGUAAUUCUUAGUUUUAUCUGAAUCUUUGCAUUGAGUCUGGUGAGAUUUAUGCUUUCUUCUUGUGCAUUGUGUGUUAGGAUCACAGAGAUGUGGGAUGUGUGUGUGUGUGUGUGUGUGUGUCCUCCUUGGGAAUAAUAUGAAUUUCAUGGUGGCUGGAUGCUUUUAGAGGAGUGACCCGUCCUAAAGUAGGCUAGUAGUGCAAUGCCUCCAGCAUGGGCCGACCACUCAAUGUGUGUGUGUGUGUGUGUGUGUGUGUGUGUGUGUGUGUGUGUGUGUGUGUGUGUGUGCGCGCGUAAAAUGGUAGUCAAGGCAUUUCCCUUCUUCCUUUGUCUGCUGCUGUGACUGACACACAAGCACACACACCUACAUGUGACAUCACGACAGCUGUUGGAGUCGAUCAGAUGGACCUGGAUGGACUGUGAAAGUGUUAGAAGGGUUCCCUUCUGUGACAGCUUCCAGCAAAUAAAGUGCAGGCAUGAGUACAAUAGACAGAAGUAUAUCUGUCAAAUACAGGACAGACCGUAAUAUGAAUAUAAGGUUCAUCUCACAAAUGUGAUAAAACGAAGAAAAAGCUCCAUUAAAGUAAAGUACCAGAGUGAACGCAGCUUAUUUCCACCAGCGACACACAACUCAUUCACCAAUGGAAGACAUUGUCCUGAAGUGCUUUAUGGGUAAUUAACUCACCCCACCCUCCCCCAUCACCCUGUGUGACUCCCCCGUCACUAUUGUGGAUUUCUUCCGUCUCCUGGGCUCCAUCAUCACCCAGGACCUCAAGUGGGAGCUGAACAUCAGCUCCAUCACCAAGAAGGCUCAGCAGAGGUUGUUCUUCCUGAGGCAGCUGAAGAAACUCAACCUGCCAAAGACGAUGAUGGUCCACUUCUACACGGCCAUCAUGGAGUCCAUCCUCUGCUCCUCCAUCAGCGUCUGGUACGCUGCAGCCACAGCCAAGGACAAGGGCAGGCUGCAGCGUGUCAUCCGCUCUGCAGAGAGGCUGAUCGGCUGCAAUCUCAUUUUAAACAUGUUUAACUUUAACGUUUAUUCCUUUAUUUUAAACUAACCCAUAGCUUCACACUACUAACCCAUAGCCUUACACUACUAACCCAUUAUUUUAUUCCUUGUGCACUGCUGUCUUGUCGUCCAUUGUCGUACUGUCUGCUGUUACGCUCCAACCGCCAAGUCACAUUCCUUGUAUGUCUGAUAUUAUGGCGAUAAAUGUUUCCUGAUUCCUGAUCAAAAGAUACAAUAUUUAUAUAAACAUAUUCAUCAAUAUCAGCUUUAUUUGUUAAAUACGUGUAUUAAUAUAAUUUACUGUACUUACUACAGAAAUAUAAAACAGUGGAAUGCUUAAAAAUGACAUUAUAAAUAUUUUUGUCUUCUAUAGAUCCGAUUGGCUGGAUCAUUAUUAUCACCUUCAGACCACUAGAUGGAGAUAAAGACCUGAGGAUCAUCCAGAGCAGCUGAUAGAAGAGCACCUACACACACACACACACACACACACACACACACACACACACACACACACACAUACACACACACACACACACACACACACACACAUUUACACACAUGGCCAGUAAACAUGAGUAGAUAUUUUGAUACUGUAAUGUGAACCUCUCCGUCUCUACUCACCAUCUGCCACACACACACACACACACACACACAAACACGCGUGCACGCACACACACACACACCCGUGCACGCACACACACACACAUGCCCCCCCCCCCCACACGCAUACACACUUUUCAUUUUUCCAUCCCUUGUCUCCAGUUCCCUCCUUCUGUCUCUCCUCACCGUCUCACUUUCUCUGUCUCUCACACACACACACACACACACACACCAACACACACACACACACACACACAGACACACACACAGACACACACCUACGGUGCCUGACACAGUAGCAUCUGGCGUCUUUCUGCUGCCGUCUUUCUGCUGCCGCCUCCCUCCUGAGACUCCUAUGAUGCGUCCUCCUCUGAACUUGCAGCUUCUCACCUGCAGAGCUCGUGUGAUCCACCUGCUUUUUAUUAAAAGGCUUAUUUUGUCAUUCAGCUAAACCUUGAAUUUAUGCCAGAAUUGAAACUUUAAAACGUCUUUCAUCCGCUGCUGAAAACUUCCAUUUUAUUUUAGCUGAUGGAAUAAGGAACAAAAAUACAAUCUUCUUACCACACUUUAAGUUUAUGGAAAGCUCGAAAUGAAUGUUUUUUCACUGUAACCCAGGUCAAAAAAAGAGGUGAAGACAGAAAAUACUGACUAAUAAUCAUAACGAAGCUCCAUAACAUCUGGUGGAGACUAACGUCGUGUGUGACGACCCUAAGCUACCCAAGCUAAGCUCAAAGAACCGAUUCUUUAAUAUUUUAAUGUGCAUGUGACGAGGCCCUGCGAUUGGCGGGCGACCGAUCCGACGUGGACCCCGUCUCUCGCCCGGAGUGACCCCGGCCCCCCGGCGACCCUGUAUGAAGGAUAAGACGAGCCUGCAUUGUUUUCUGCCUUUGGUAAGACUUGUUUUCACCCACAUGUUGGAUGUCUGGAGGAACUUUUUUUGCCAUUUUUUUUUUCUCAAGGGGCCGGACUUAACAAAGGGCCCAUGAGCACAAAAAGUGCAGGAUCAUCUCGUCAAGUAGCAAGCAUCGCCUCUUGAGGUGCAGUCAGUGUCCUGCCGCCUGUUGAAAUACGGCGACCUUUGACCCGGGGAACUCAGACCACAUCCCCACAUUGACGUCCGUCCCCCUGGAGGGAAACAUCCAACAUGGCAGCGUGCGCACAGAUCCUGGCCGUCCUACAAAGCGAAGCAAAGGAAGACGGGGAAGAGGGACGGAUGUGGAAAAGGGGGGAGUUCACACACACACACACACACACAGUGAGUACUGAUGAAAGAUACGCUGGAAAAAGCUGCAGAGAACAGAGCCCGACAGGUGGAAACCAUUAACCGCCGCAUGGAAAGUCAAACAGCACUGUGCGUGCAGGUGUGUGUGUGUCUGUGUGUGCGUGCAGGUGUGUGUGUGUCUGUGUGUGUGCGUGCAGGUGUGUGUGUGUGCAGGUGUGUGUGUGUCUGUGUGCGUGUGUGUCUUUGUGCGUGCAGGUUUCUGUGUGCGUGCAGGUGUGUGUGUGUGUGCGUGCAGGUGUGUGUGUGUGUGUCUGGGUGUGCGUGCAGGUGUGCGUGUGUGUGUGUGCGUGCAAGUGUGUUUGUGUGUGCAGGUGUGUAUGGGUCUGUGUGUGUGUGCGUGCAGGUGUGUGUGUGUCUGUGCGUGCGUGCAGGUGUGCGUAUGUCUGUGUGCAUGCAGGUGUGUCUGUGUGUGUCUGUGUGUGCGUGCAGGUGUGUGUGUGUGCGUCUGUGUGUGCGUGCAGGUGACAAUCACAGGAAACCAUUUAAAGCUGACGUAUCACCUGAGACACUCUGUGCCCCCCCGCCGCAAUUCACAAAACUCCACCCACCGGCUGCACCCCGCAGCUCAAAACAAACCCCCCCUUUGAAGCUCUUUGUAUCUAAUUUAAUAUUGACAUUUUGUAAAAGAACAGUUUUUUUUGCGUAUUAAUCUCUUUAUCUUGAUUAAUGUGACAGAGGAGAAAGUUGUUGGUUCCGACGUCAUUUGGAGGGAAGUGAUGAAAUAAAGAAGCAGGAGGCCGUUCACACAGAUGAAAUCUGAGGGUCUUGAUGGAUUAAUGUCUCGCUGCGCAGAUAAUUCAACCAGGAUGUUUUCUGUCCCCGUUUUUGAUGAUUUUAAUGCGCCUCCGUGACAGCCGGCCUCGUCAUGCAGCGUUUACGAGAAGCAGCGAGAAGACGUUUUUAUAAAUUAGAGGGCGAGUCGCCCCCUGCUGGUCACUACAGGGAAUGCAUGAUACUUUGUUUUUGACCGACCAAGAAACACUUUCAGUGUAAAAUAUGAGUUGAUGAAUGAAAGAAUGUGAUGACUCAUUGGAAAUAACCCCGUGAGACUUCCUCAGUUUUCCUUCCCCCCCCCCCCGUCUGGGUGAUGGAUGACCUCCUCGGAGGGGCUUCCUGUGCCGUUUGGGAAGUCGUUAGGGCCGAGCUGGAUUCCUUUUUUUCGAACAUAUGUGUGAUUUGUGUGGCAUCGGCGGUCGGACUGGAUGACGGGGAGAAGGUGAAGUGAACUAGGAAGCAGCGCUGUGCUUCUUGGCUCAUUGGUCUGAUGGUAACGAUGGGAAAGGGAAAGAAAGUUGAUGACGGAGAUCUUAUCAGCUGGGAAAAACCAGACUCUCAGGGGUUGGUUUAGUUCCGUCAUUUUCUCUCCUUCUUUCUUCUCUCCAUUUCUUUUUCUCCCUCAUUCCUCCUCAUGUCGUCCUCCUUUCCUUCUCCCUUUUUCAUCUUUCAGAUUCGUCAUUUUCUCUUGUCUUUCUCUCCAUCGAUCCUCCGUCUUUCUCCCCUGAUUUCAUUCAUUCUGGCUCCUGUCUCGUUCCCUUCUUUGUCUGGCAUCCCUCCCUCAUUAUUCUCCCCCCCCGCCCCCCCAUC
Gasterosteus aculeatus aculeatus (three-spined stickleback) is the source of this 4651-nucleotide long non-coding RNA. Lineage: Eukaryota; Metazoa; Chordata; Actinopteri; Perciformes; Gasterosteidae. The record is from Ensembl.